UACGUAGGAUGCAAGCGUUAUCCGGAAUCAUUGGGCGUAAAGCGUUCGUAGGUGGUGCAUCAAGUUUAUAGUUAAAUCCGGUCGCUCAACGAUCGAAUCGCUAUAAAAACUAAUACACUCGAGAAUGGCAGAGGUAACUGGAAUUCCACAUGUAGGGGUAAAAUCCGUUGAUAUGUGGAGGAACACCAAAAGCGAAGGCAGGUUACUGGGCCAUUUCUGACACUGAGGAACGAAAGCGUGGGGAG
This 245-nucleotide ribosomal RNA is filed under the name uncultured bacterium. Its description in RNAcentral is "partial 16S ribosomal RNA". It matches the Rfam family "Bacterial small subunit ribosomal RNA", at positions 524 to 768 of the family's 1533-position model. The record is from RNAcentral.